UGAGGGACUAUUGAUGCUUUUGGUAUCAGCAGCCACAGAAUUCAUCAGACACAGCACAAAAGAGCAGGAGAAGAGAUAAUGGCAGAUGCCAGAAGGUUGUCCAGCUGGUUACUACCUCUCCUCUUCACCUGAUUAUACCUGAUUACUGCUGACUCGAUGGGCAGGGAGAGUCGCUGACUCCUGACAGAAAGACUCUGUCACCCCUUGCCAUUUAUUUUAGAUCCUGUGAAUCCUACUGUCAAUGUUGUGACACCUGCAAUGCCUGGGAUGAAGCUGCCCAUGUGGUGAGAUGCAGCCUGUGGAAGCCUCUUUUCAGUGGAGUGAGAGCCAAGCCCCCUUGGCUUUUCAUAGACAAUUGGUGAACGGGACAAGGAGACACUGUCCUUGGAUGUCUGAAAAAAAAAGAAAAAGGUUGCAAAACAUGUUGCCAAUAAGAAUGUUGUAGAUGAAAGGCAGGAUGAAGGAAAGUGGUCUUAAUUUAAAUUCUCUAUUUUACUAAACCUACUCUUUAACAAAUAUGUUUAUGUGAGGCAUCAGAAGCAAAUGUAUUUUGGCUUUUAAGAGAAUUAAAAUUGUUUCCCCUAUUUUUUUAUUUGUUUGCUUUGGUGGCUUUGUGACCAAAAAAAUUGUUUUAAUCCAAAUAGCCACAAUAAAUAAAUAAGCAAAUGAAUAAAAUUCCCAGGUCAUUUGAGAGAAAAGAUUAACUGAAAAGGUAAAGCAUCUCCCCCUUUUUAGUUUCAGUUAAUUAUAGUGUCAGGAUGACUUUUUAACUUACCUGGCAAUCUGGAACCUCAUAGAGUCACUUGCGUUUUCAAAAUUUCCAUGUGAAAACAUGAUUGUGCCAAGUACUCCCUAUUAACUUUUAGACAUCAUCUAUAAAAUCACUACAGGAAAAUAUGGAAAUAUCUGAGAGAUACACAGUGGAUCGCCUCAGAAUAAAUCGUUCCCCAAAUCAUUUUAUGACUGCCUGAGUCGGGACUCAUGGGUCAGAGUAGAGUCAUAGUUAAGGUUUGCAACUGGCUUAGUAGCAAGAGGGGAUAAACAAACUAUCCAGGCUGUUGAACUGUCCAGUUUCGCUACAACUGUAUUUACUUGUUGGGAUCAACUGUUUUCUUUCCUAUUAAGGUAUUAGUAGCCACUGAUAAUGGAAGCCAGGGCCCGCUAGAAAUAGACCAGAGGAAAUUUCCUGACUCACUUGCAUAACAACAGUUCAUCAGCACUGAAGAUAUAUGAAGUGUGACUGCAGAGUAAUGGGAGUGAUUAGGUUUCUCUGCACAACAAAACUCUUACAUACAAAUGAGCACUGUCCCCUUCAGGACAGUCCUCAGGGAACCCGUAUGCUUAUUCCGGUGUGUGAUUGGUCUGGAAGCAUUUUUGGAUGCCCUCUGGACAGAAAGUGCUUUUGGACACUGUUAGUGGUGACAAAGUGUGUCCUUUGAGGAUGGAUUAGAUUGUUGGAAAUGAUACAAUGUAUUCACAGUAUACAUCUGUUGUUUUUGUCUACCCAGAAGCCUCUGUCCAAACUUGUGGUUGGAGAGGCUGUAUUUCUUCUGUCGUUCAUUCUGUCUUUGAAGGCUCUCGAGGAGAAAAUAGCUUUUAAUAUCUCUUGGGAAAUGGCCACAUUUUCCCCUGGCAAUUGAACCCAUGGCUUUCUUGAAUGACUACUCCUCAACCAGGUCUAAGUUGUUUAGGUAGGCUGACUUGACCACCAGUUCCAGAGCACAGACAUGUGACGAGCCUGGCCAUAGUCAUUGAUUCAGGGAUGGACACAUGACUGAAACGGCAUGCUGGCAUUUAGUUCUGGUACUUGGAUUUUAACUGUUGGGAGGAGAAUUUCUCACUCUGCUAUGAUAUAAGCAUGAAGCUACUGGCUUCCACUUGCUGCUACAAAGAGCCUGCUUAAAAAUGGAGCCAACAUAAAAGGAAGCAGAUUUAAGACCUGAGCGAUGAGAGCGUGCACAUGUGUGUAUAUCCACAUAAUGAGACUAAGUCUUGAUUUCUGCACCUUGAUCCAGAUAUACCUGGAGCAGAAACUCUGCUGGGACUCUUUUGUAUCAUGAGCCAGUAACCUCCCUAUUUGCCUAGUAGGUUGAUUUGGGCUUCAAUCUUGCAACCAAGUGAGUCCUGACUAAACCAGCAGAAUGGAGCCAGGUAAGGUUCUUUCUCAAGAAGAGAAGAAGGAAGGUAUCAAGACGUUUAUGACAAAUUUCUACUCAACACUGAGCACCUGCUAAGUGCUGGGCCUAAUAGUCGAGAUGCUGCAAUGAACUAGUCCAUUCAGGAUGCUGAGGUGUUUCAGCCUAGAAGAGACUGCUUUUCUUCCUUUGCUCAUGCAGACUCAGGGGGCCAUUCUCAAGGAGGAGUUAGUGACAGGAAUGUCUUUGGCAAAGACAGCACUCUUGAGUGUGGUCAGAACAUGUUAUUUAUUUCCCAAGAUGAUUAGUUUUUGAAGAAGACAACAAAUAGUUGAGGCUAUGAAUUCUAUCUCUGUAAAAAUAGAGUUAUGUUUUCCUCCUGUAGUCAGAUCUCCUGUGGAACGUGAGUAAACAGGAAUUUCUAUGUAUGGAGCAAGGACAGUAUGGUUAGCACAUAAUACAUGUGUUUAUUUCAGAGCUGGGGAGGACUCCUGACCAGCGUGACACCUAACAUUGGAGUGAAGGGGCAGCAGAUGUGACUUGUUCCUCCUUGCCUUCCACCGUGAUUGUGAGACCUCUCCAGCCACGUGAAACGGAAUGGGAAAUACUCUUCUCCUACCACCAACUUGGCCACUCUCCAGUGACGAGGUUUCAGAAGCAGUGCAUUUUCAAGUUUCUGCCUCAGAAGAGAUCCAGUUUGGCAUUCUGUCUAAGUUCACUGCACAGAGACGGGUUUGGCUCUGUGAUUCAUCAGAAAUAAGAAAAACAAACACUGUAAAUGGAGAACUUGAAAAAGAGGUGGGCACCAUCUCCCCACCCAAGAGAAUGGAUUUAAGAGGAAAUUUGUUUAUGGGAUGAAGUUUUAAAAGGCGACCUGGAAAAUUUAGCAAAGAUGUAAAUAAACAACUCUUCCUUGGAUUGCAUUAGGCUUCAGAAUAAAUAUAUUAACCAGCUUCAGUCAAAGUCUGCCUAGAAUCUGACCCUGACAAGACCCAGUGACUAGUGCUGCUCCGAACCUUCCCCACCAACAGCAGGCAAUUUUCUCUGUGGCAAAGCUACCUCGAAACAGGCAUCCAGGCUUCCCUCCCACGAAGUGAAGAUGAGAAAACUGAGUCUCAGAAUGGACAAGCUCACAGAUGGCAAGUGGUAGAGCAGACUUCACACAUAGCUUCUGCCACGUCCCGGGUCCCAGAGUGUGCCUGCUCAGAUCCCAGAAAACUUGCAGGAACAGGAAGAGGUCACACAGUGUUAAGGGGAAGGGAGAACAGGAACGGCGGGU
Molecule: long non-coding RNA, 3414 nt
Filed under: Homo sapiens (human)
Lineage: Eukaryota; Metazoa; Chordata; Mammalia; Primates; Hominidae
Description: HSALNT0328468
Source: RNAcentral